GUUUCAGUAGCUUAGUUGGUAAAGUGCUCGUAUAGCAUACAAGAGUCUUGGGUUCGAGUCCUACCUGAGAAU
Molecule: transfer RNA, 72 nt
Filed under: Aedes aegypti (yellow fever mosquito)
Lineage: Eukaryota; Metazoa; Arthropoda; Insecta; Diptera; Culicidae
Rfam family: tRNA
About the family: Transfer RNA (tRNA) molecules are approximately 80 nucleotides in length. Their secondary structure includes four short double-helical elements and three loops (D, anti-codon, and T loops).
Source: Rfam by way of RNAcentral